CCCUAGACAAUUUGGAAGACGAGGAACGAUGUUGUGUUCAAUGGAGUUUCCCCUAGAAUUUCCCAAGCUAUCACACUUGCACUGGAAGAAACUGAGCUCUGGCAGUUAGCAGGGGCAAAGGGCUCAAGCAGGUUGGUCGCAGUUAGACCUGCUGGGCAGCAGGUUUAAGGUGUAGGUGUCAAGAUCGUUUUUAUUUGGUUACACGGGUGCGCUUGUAAGCUAAGUGUGUGUCGGAGUGUGUGUGGGGUUUUGUAUGGCUAUUUUGGCCUUUCUCCUUCUCUCUUAAUGCAAUGAUACACAACUCUCCUGCUUAUUCGAGA
Molecule: long non-coding RNA, 320 nt
Organism: Panicum virgatum (switchgrass)
Lineage: Eukaryota; Viridiplantae; Streptophyta; Magnoliopsida; Poales; Poaceae
Exons: 2
Source: RefSeq, a predicted model, not a curated record